RNAcentral lists this ribosomal RNA (692 nucleotides) under Klebsiella pneumoniae. RNAcentral's name for it is "partial 23S ribosomal RNA". It matches the Rfam family "Bacterial large subunit ribosomal RNA", at positions 2132 to 2823 of the family's 2925-position model. Lineage: Bacteria; Pseudomonadati; Pseudomonadota; Gammaproteobacteria; Enterobacterales; Enterobacteriaceae. The record is from RNAcentral.
UGAUGUGUAGGAUAGGUGGGAGGCUUUGAAGCGUGGACGCCAGUCUGCGUGGAGCCAACCUUGAAAUACCACCCUUUAAUGUUUGAUGUUCUAACGUUGGCCCCUGACCGGGGUUGCGGACAGUGUCUGGUGGGUAGUUUGACUGGGGCGGUCUCCUCCCAAAGCGUAACGGAGGAGCACGAAGGUUAGCUAAUCCUGGUCGGACAUCAGGAGGUUAGUGCAAUGGCAUAAGCUAGCUUGACUGCGAGCGUGACGGCGCGAGCAGGUGCGAAAGCAGGUCAUAGUGAUCCGGUGGUUCUGAAUGGAAGGGCCAUCGCUCAACGGAUAAAAGGUACUCCGGGGAUAACAGGCUGAUACCGCCCAAGAGUUCAUAUCGACGGCGGUGUUUGGCACCUCGAUGUCGGCUCAUCACAUCCUGGGGCUGAAGUAGGUCCCAAGGGUAUGGCUGUUCGCCAUUUAAAGUGGUACGCGAGCUGGGUUUAGAACGUCGUGAGACAGUUCGGUCCCUAUCUGCCGUGGGCGCUGGAGAAUUGAGGGGGGCUGCUCCUAGUACGAGAGGACCGGAGUGGACGCAUCACUGGUGUUCGGGUUGUCAUGCCAAUGGCACUGCCCGGUAGCUAAAUGCGGAAGAGAUAAGUGCUGAAAGCAUCUAAGCACGAAACUUGCCCCGAGAUGAGUUCUCCCUGAGACUU